UCUACAGUGUCGCGGACCGUGCGGAUGCAGUUGGCCGUACCUCUCGGCUCUUUUCUUUGGACGUCGCGUUUUCAAUGAACUUUACUGACAUGACUGAUAAAUUCAUGAACAUUAUUUGCACCAAACUCCUGUGCAUUCAGAACUAUUUCAGCAAUAUAACUGUUGCAUUUCAGACCAAUAAUUGCUUUGAGGCUUGAGUGCUUUGGCAAUGUUGGAAGUAGUACAAGAAGUAAGAAACCUUGUGCAUUUUUCUCGCGGGCCAGAAGCUGGACACAUCUUCCAACAAUAUCUUUUGUUGAGAAGCCGAAUGUGUACCAGCCAGCAGUGAGCUCCCAGUAGCCAGCCAAGCUUCAAGCGACUGUUACUCGAGUUGCAGAUAAAGGGGGGAACAUCUUUUGUGCUAAUGACUCUCGAGAGUCUGCUACUAGACGGGUGAUGUAAUCUGUGGAUAUGUGGUUUGUGGACGAAUAUGGAGGUUCACCAAUGGACCAAGUCCUCAUCUUGUUCUUGCCAAACUGGAUGAUGUGGAAGUGAUUGAAACACAGAAAGUUCCCUCUGAAGUCUCUGAUUCAUGUCCACAUGUCAGUGGUAUCAAGUACUUGCAGCAAAGAUCCAUGUUUUCUUCUUAUAGAAUGAGAUGAUAUGAUGGAGGUUGUGUACUGAAAUCUUGAAUGAGCUGAGGUGAUGCCUACCAGUGGAAUCUGGGGUCAUGCAAAAGAUUUGUUUUGAGAAGUCUCUGAUGAUGUAGUGUCUGCAACAGGAGGUGUUUGAAGGAGCAUUGCUGGAGGAUACGGGGAAUGGUGACUUCAACUGGACCCAUUUGGAUGAGCAUCAAUCGAGUAUACACAUGCAUUGAGCCAACAAUAGACCACUUAAUUGAUUCAGACAAUGAUUCAGGCUAAUCAACAUUUUUUGGACUGUGUACCCAGCUGAAGAAGGACUGUGUCUGUUCUUGCUAGAUGACUCUCCACUACAGGUUGCACCCUUCAAGUGAUGUAUAGUUGCUGAGGCUAUCCAUCAAUUUGUGCAAAGGGUCAACAAGCAGGACUUCUAGAUUGAGAUGAUGACAUUUGGAGAUGAUAUUCACCUAAUCUUGAGGCUAAUCUUUUUUGGACUGUGUACCAUCAGCUGAAGAAGGAUGCGUCUACUCUAGUUAGAUGACUCUUCACUACACGUUCAACCCUUUAAGUGACGUGUGGAUGUUGAGGCUAUCAAAUGCUUUUUGGACAGCUGAAAAGAGUCGACAACAUCUUUAUUGAGACAAUGAACUUGUUGGUCUGUGUACCACCAGCUGAAGAAAGACUUGGUCACACAUGGGUCUUGCCAGUCGCCUCUCCGCUACAAAUUCAACCACAGAUGUAGGGAUAUGCUAAUCGUCGCUUUUUGGACUGGCCACUUAAUGAAGGACUGUCGGAACUAGCCAGAAGACUUUGUGCUACAAUCAACCAUUCAAAGGAGGUAGGGAUAGGUUAUAACCAAUGCUUUUUUGGACUUCGUGCCAUCACUAGCUGAAGGACUGUGUAAAGUCUUGCCAGAAGACUCGCCUCUACAAGUUCAACCACUCAACCCUCAAGUGGUCACACUGGCCAAUAGGCUAAUUAACCGUUUUUGGUAUGUAACCACCAGCUGAAGUCUUGUCAAGGGACUCUCCACUACAACCAUUGAAGUGAUGUAGGGAUAGAGGGUCAACACUAUUUGGUCUGUGCGCCACCAGCUGAUCGAAGGACUGUUAAACCUAGCCAGUGACUCUUCCCUGCAAGUUUAACUGUUGCUGUGACGGAGGGAUGUUGAGGCAAAGUAACACUUUUUGGACUGUGUGCUACCCGUCGAAGAACUAUAUAAAGUCUUGCCAAAUGACUCUUCUUGACGCAAGUCCAACUGGGGUCGAUAUCACAAAG
Molecule: long non-coding RNA, 1898 nt
Organism: Asterias rubens (European starfish)
Lineage: Eukaryota; Metazoa; Echinodermata; Asteroidea; Forcipulatida; Asteriidae
Exons: 8
Source: RefSeq, a predicted model, not a curated record